GAGGAGCCGGAUGUUCACAGAUAUUGGGAAAUGAAGAUUCUUGAAUUUCCCAAUGUUUUGUUGCCUUUUUGUGAGGACCGACGGAGGUGUCGAUACCGGAGGCUUGAAAAAGAGCCAUUAUGACAAAAGCAUAGGGGAGUGGCUUAUCGUCCCCAAUUGCAUCAUACAUGUGAGUCAGGACGAACUGGCACCAAUUGAUGCGAGCCCCGGUGAUUAUUGCGUGCAUGAGUUUUGAAUCCUCAUGAGAG
RNAcentral lists this long non-coding RNA (248 nucleotides) under Nicotiana benthamiana. Its description in RNAcentral is "long non-coding RNA (NBEN_LNC006871)". The record is from RNAcentral. Lineage: Eukaryota; Viridiplantae; Streptophyta; Magnoliopsida; Solanales; Solanaceae.